UAGGGAAUCUUCGGCAAUGGGGGCAACCCUGACCGAGCAACGCCGCGUGAGUGAAGAAGGUUUUCGGAUCGUAAAGCUCUGUUGUAAGAGAAGAACGUGUGUGAGAGUGGAAAGUUCACACAGUGACGGUAACUUACCAGAAAGGGACGGCUAACUACGUGCCAGCAGCCGCGGUAAUACGUAGGUCCCGAGCGUUGUCCGGAUUUAUUGGGCGUAAAGCGAGCGCACGCGGUUUAAUAAGUCUGAAGUUAAAGGCAGUGGCUUAACCAUUGUUCGCUUUGGAAACUGUUAAACUUGAGUGCAGAAGGGGAGAGUGGAAUUCCAUGUGUAGCGGUGAAAUGCGUAGAUAUAUGGAGGAACACCGGUGGCGAAAGCGGCUCUCUGGUCUGUAACUGACGCUGAGGCUCGAAAGCGUGGGGAGCAAACAGG
This 429-nucleotide ribosomal RNA is filed under the name bacterium. RNAcentral's name for it is "partial 16S ribosomal RNA". It matches the Rfam family "Bacterial small subunit ribosomal RNA", at positions 355 to 776 of the family's 1533-position model. The record is from RNAcentral.